GUGAACGCUGGCGGUAGGCCUAACACAUGCCAGUCGAACGGCAGCACAGUAAGAGCUUGCUCUUACGGGUGGCGAGUGGCGGACGGGUGAGGAAUACAUCGGAAUCUACUUUUUCGUGGGGGAUAACGUAGGGAAACUUACGCUAAUACCGCAUACGACCUACGGGUGAAAGCAGGGGAUCUUCGGACCUUGCGCGAUUGAAUGAGCCGAUGUCGGAUUAGCUAGUUGGCGGGGUAAAGGCCCACCAAGGCGACGAUCCGUAGCUGGUCUGAGAGGAUGAUCAGCCACACUGGAACUGAGACACGGUCCAGACUCCUACGGGAGGCAGCAGUGGGGAAUAUUGGACAAUGGGCGCAAGCCUGAUCCAGCCAUACCGCGUGGGUGAAGAAGGCCUUCGGGUUGUAAAGCCCUUUUGUUGGGAAAGAAAAGCAGCAGGUUAAUACCCCGCUGUUCUGACGGUACCCAAGGAAUAAGCACCGGCUAACUUCGUG
RNAcentral lists this ribosomal RNA (491 nucleotides) under uncultured bacterium. RNAcentral describes it as "partial 16S ribosomal RNA". It matches the Rfam family "Bacterial small subunit ribosomal RNA", at positions 29 to 507 of the family's 1533-position model. The record is from RNAcentral.